RNAcentral lists this ribosomal RNA (253 nucleotides) under uncultured bacterium. RNAcentral describes it as "partial 16S ribosomal RNA". It matches the Rfam family "Bacterial small subunit ribosomal RNA", at positions 524 to 776 of the family's 1533-position model. The record is from RNAcentral.
UACGUAGGUGGCGAGCGUUGUCCGGAAUUACUGGGUGUAAAGGGCGUGUAGGCGGGGCGGCAACUCAGAUGGGAAAUUCCGGGGCUUAACCCCGGCGCUGCAUCUGAAACUGUCGUUCUUGAGUGUCGGAGAGGAAAGUGGAAUUCCCAGUGUAGCGGUGAAAUGCGUAGAGAUUGGGAGGAACACCAGUGGCGAAGGCGGCUAUCUGGACGAUAACUGACGCUGAGUCGCGAAAGCGUGGCGAGCAAACAGG